GGGGCCGUCGUCUAGCCUGGACUAGGAUGCCAGCCUGGGGCGUGGAGCCCCGCGCCGGGGUCCACCCGGAUCGCUGGUGGCCCGGGUUCAAAUCCCGGCGGCCCCA
RNAcentral lists this transfer RNA (106 nucleotides) under Pyrolobus fumarii 1A. It matches the Rfam family "tRNA". Rfam says of the family: Transfer RNA (tRNA) molecules are approximately 80 nucleotides in length. Their secondary structure includes four short double-helical elements and three loops (D, anti-codon, and T loops). Further hydrogen bonds mediate the characteristic L-shaped molecular structure. tRNAs have two regions of fundamental functional importance: the anti-codon, which is responsible for specific mRNA codon recognition, and the 3' end, to which the tRNAs corresponding amino acid is attached (by aminoacyl-tRNA synthetases). tRNAs cope with the degeneracy of the genetic code in two manners: having more than one tRNA (with a specific anti-codon) for a particular amino acid; and 'wobble' base-pairing, i.e. permitting non-standard base-pairing at the 3rd anti-codon position. The record is from Rfam by way of RNAcentral. Lineage: Archaea; Thermoproteati; Thermoproteota; Thermoprotei; Desulfurococcales; Pyrodictiaceae.